This is a long non-coding RNA of Brassica napus (rape), 2580 nucleotides long. RefSeq lists it as uncharacterized. NCBI's taxonomy places the organism in Eukaryota, Viridiplantae, Streptophyta, Magnoliopsida, Brassicales, Brassicaceae. The record is from RefSeq and is a predicted model, not a curated record. The transcript is spliced from 2 exons.
CUGAUUAAUUGAAUAUAUAAUAACAACAAAUAGAUCAAAGAUGAGGUGUCGGGGGUGGGAGAUUGGUCACUUUCCACUUAUGUAUGUGUCCCCUUCUCUUACACGUUCACAUUCAUAUGAAAAGUUUAAUUGCUUUGCUAUUUUCCAUACUCUUCAAGUCUUCAUUUCCACAACCCAUGGUUUAUUUGUCUAUAUAUCUUAUCGAUUGGGCAUCACCUUUUUGUUAGCAAAAUUUCAAUGUAUUUUCUCAUUUUGUUACUUAUAUAUGCCCUUUUUCAACAAAAAAAGUCAGAUGUAUAUAAUGUUACAUGAUAAAUUUUAAAUAUUUCUCGCAAGUUUUUAAAAGUUUUUGAAAGUGCAUAUUUAUAUUAAAGAAUAUUAUUAUUCAAUGUGAUAGAAAGAUACAUAUUCACUUUUUAAAAAAGCUUAACUAGAGACUAGAGUCAGAGUCGGUCAUGGUAAAGUGAAAUAAAAUAUUAGUUUUAGGUUCAAGUUAAUAAAUAUAAAUAUAUGUUUUUAAUUAAAAAUCAUUAAAAUUUUGUUAAAAUUGUUUAUGGUUUUCAAAAUCUCAUGGUUAAUUUUGAACGCGACAAAUGGAAGUUUAAUUUGUCCAAGACAAACAAAUGAACGUUACGCGUGAUCAGGUAGGACUGGAAGUCUGGAAAUUUGAAUUCUGUGAUGCUAAAAAAUGAUUAAAAAAAAUAAUCGUAGUAAACAAGACGUUGAGCGUCAUAACAAUUAUCAAAUGUAAAAACUAGUACUAAAAACCAGAGAAAGGGCUUUUGACGAGAGUAACGAGGCUGUGUGCGUCUCUGUUCCCAAAAUCUAAAGGAAUCAAUAAAUUAAUUAAACAAUAAUGCAACACUUCUUACUAGUAUAAAUUAUUUCAGUGACAACAUUUCCCACUAAAGAGAGAUUUCAGAUCCAAAAUAAAGCUAUAUAAUAAAUUCGCCGUUAUAUAAACGGCCGGGGACUUAUUAGCCAAUGAUCUACAAAAUCGCAAAGCCCCUUUGACUUUGACAACACACAUGAGAAACAGUCCUUAAUAUUAUAGUGUUAAUAUGAAACAACUGUUAAAUAAUUGUGUCAGUGAACUAAAGGUGGUACCAUUGUGUGAAUCUAAUUAAUAUUUUAGAAUGACAUACCUUAUAAAUGUUUUAAAUCGUACAAAUGUAAUCAACAAUUUUCAUACUCUAGUUUCGUUCGUAGUGUUUUUUGGAUUAGCUCUCUCGAAUUAACCCGAAUAUACAAGAUUAUUUACAAUUUUCCGAUAUAUUUUGCUUAUUCUAUCUCUUUUUUUAAUGAAGUUUAUUUUAUCUUUCAGAACUGUUUUUGUUAGUAAACACGGUCAAAGACGGAUGAAAACAUGAAUAUGAGACCGUUUGAUAAGUGAAAACUAAAGGAAAAUACACAUUUUCUUAGAAACAUCACAAUGGUCGAGAACCUUUAAAACAAAACUCAAAACUCAUGCGGUCUAUUUCUGAUCCACCCCCAAAAGAAACUGUGCUGCUUCUAUCAAAAGACAUGGUCGAGAACCUUUGAUGCUCGAGGAAGCCAAUCUUCAGCUUCUCGUGCCUGCCUUGAAGACAUACUUGCAUUCCCUACUGCUAGUAAAAGAAAAGACAUCAACAAUUAAUAUGACAUCAACCCACAUCAGUGCUAAGUGGAUUUCAGCUAAAACAAAUAAGCAAAAAAAUUUCAUUAGUAUUUAAUUUUAUCCAAAACUAUAUAAAACAAUAAAUUUAUUUUUACAAAACACAAUGUCCCACUAAAGAAACCACUACUUAAGAAAAUCAUAACUAGGAGAAGUUUUACAAUUAGCUUUAUAUCAAAAAUAAAAUUAGGAACAUAAACUUCUUAAAUUUUAAAGACUGGCAAAAACAAUAUCAUUUGACAAAAACUUAUUAGUAAUAACAACCUAGUUUUAGUAAUAAAAGGAUAUUGGAGAAUUUGAUCUGAACUCAUUACAAUCCAAGGGCUACGAUUAAAAGAAAAGAAAAACAUAUUGGAUAAAGGUCGGCAAAGUAAAAUAAAGAAAAAAGGAAAAAAAGGGAGACUUUGGUUUAGCUCCGAAGCUUAUAUAUAAAAAGAUGGUUACCUCAUCAACAUGUUCUGCAACAUGGCUGUCGAUGAGUUUAACAAAUUUUAUUUAAGAAAUUGUUACUUAAUUAAUGCCUUGUCCGUUUAUAACAGAAUAAAAAACAGAACCUAACUUUUGUCUCUGUCCUUGUAGGGAAGAAGGUUGAGUUUGUGGAGGCUCAUAAGGCCGUUUGUCACUUUCAAGCCGGGCGGAAAUUUUACAUCACAUUCGAAGGCCGUGAAGAUAAUCAGCUGCAGCUGUACCAGGCAAUGAUCCAAUAUCAUUCCAUCAAAACAACUCAAGUUGUCUUCUACAGGCCUAAACCACCCAAGGCUAUGUAGGCGCCCUAUAUGCAACCCGGAGUCAUCUCUACACUGGUGGCUGCUGCUGGUGUUUUAUGAACUCCAUGAUUAUUACUCCCUCUUUUUUUUUUGAUAUUUUAGUAUAAACACACAAAUUUAAAAAAUAUAUAUAUUUUUAUUAAAAAUACUUGAUUACAA